UUUUUUUUUGAAGUUUGCCCCAGUGUGAAAGUCUCUCUGUAAGUCAGAACCUUAGCAUUAUUUUAAUGUACUGUUCUGUAUUUAAUAAUCUUAUGCUUCAGACAUUAGUCUGUUACCAUGGGAAUGACAGCAGCAUAAAUACAGGAUUAUGGCUAUCAAGCAGGAGAAAAGAAAUUAUGAAUAAGCCUCGUUAUAUUCAAUAAUUAGCAGCUACAUGAAAAAAACAAAACCAUGAAUUUAGGUUGAUGCAUUUAUCUCAGUGUUUGAAUACAACUCUGAGUGUGUUAUUGCUUUAAAAUGAGAUUCUAACAAACUGCCAAAAACUUCUUGACUAGCAGUUGUUACUCAGUGCUAUAAUUUAAAAAUUCAUCAUGUCCAUCUCUUUUUUCUCCUAUUUAUAUUCUUUCCCGGCAGAAGAUUGGUAACUAAUGGGUAAUACACAACAUUCCAAGAUAGAUUCUGGUAUCUUGAGCCAACAUAUCAGGAGAACGGCACAGAAAAACUGAACAUUACCAGCCCCUCUACCUUAGCUAACUGCAAAAUGAACAACUUCCAAGGACUUACUGCUACUCUCCCACAAAAUGAAAAGUCUAUGUAUCAAGAUAUAGACUAGUACAGCUAAGCACAAGGCUCCUCCCCAGUCAAAGAAGAGCAGAGAGUGAAGAUCACUAUCAGUAAAAGCGCUGGCCUAGAGUUCCAUCACUAAACUGAUAUGUAACCCAAGGCAGGUCUUCUUUCUUUGAGUUUCAGUUUCAUCAUCUUUGA
RNAcentral lists this non-coding RNA (765 nucleotides) under Pongo abelii (Sumatran orangutan). The record is from RNAcentral. Lineage: Eukaryota; Metazoa; Chordata; Mammalia; Primates; Hominidae.